This 816-nucleotide long non-coding RNA is filed under the name Sus scrofa (pig). Its description in RNAcentral is "lncRNA (ENSSSCG00050068881.1)". The record is from RNAcentral. Lineage: Eukaryota; Metazoa; Chordata; Mammalia; Artiodactyla; Suidae.
AGAUAAAAAACGAGGCAGUGAGCUAAAAAGUAGCAACAAAGGAGGUGGAAGGGACAGGACUGAACUGAGGUUUGAACUGUUCAGGAGCAGGAAUGGUUAGGACUUGGGGGUUGAUUGGAGUGUUUUCUUUCUGUUAACUUAGGAUAUAUAGCUUUCUCCAGUUGUCUGCAGUUAAUUUCUAAUUUUUUAAACUUUUGGCUUCAAAGUAGUUAUCCUGCCCCUUAGACUAUUGAGAAAGGUGAGAUGGGCAGACCUGGAAGAAAAGAAGGAUGCAGAUAGGAAAAGGGCCAUAGGUUUUGUGGUCGGACAGACUGAUUGGGAGAAGAUCACAGAUGAAAGUGGUCACCUGGCUGAAAAAGCCCUCAAUCGAACCAAAUAUAUAUGAGACUUAGUUUUUGAAUGGAGUCAUUAUUCCUCUAAGGCGGUUCCCCGUGAGGUGAUCUGAAGCCAAGGCCUCAUGGAGCUUCGUUGUGUGUCACCUUGCCUCCACGUUUCAGUUUUUGUUUUGUUUCUACUGCUUUAGUUUUUUUAAAGUUCUCCAGUGUCCCCAAGAGGUAUUAGAAUCUUGCUCUACCCAAGCAAGACAUUAAUUUUCUUUUUAACUACUUUUGGGGAGGGAGGGAGUGAUAGCAUAACUGCUGAAGCCAGGUGGAGGUCUGCUGGAGGACUCCAACAGACAGCGUUUCCUCCACUGUACAGUGUCACAGACUAUCUCUAUCAUCAUUGCUUCGUGGCUGUUUUUGUUUUUUACUGUAUGUAACUGGUAGUUGAUUGUACUAGGAUUAAAAAAAAAAUAAACUUUCUUGAUAAAGCCGA